CAAGCCGUAGCUAAAAUGUAAAGCACCUCCCUUACACCGAGGAGACGCCCGUUCAAGUCGAGCCAGCUUGA
Molecule: transfer RNA, 71 nt
Filed under: Lovettia sealii (Tasmanian whitebait)
Lineage: Eukaryota; Metazoa; Chordata; Actinopteri; Galaxiiformes; Galaxiidae
Description: tRNA-Val
Rfam family: tRNA
About the family: Transfer RNA (tRNA) molecules are approximately 80 nucleotides in length. Their secondary structure includes four short double-helical elements and three loops (D, anti-codon, and T loops).
Source: RNAcentral